GGUGCUGAAGUCAAAAACUAAGGAGCUACCCAUCUGACAGCUUGCAUAUUCUCGGAGAGGCCACCUGGGAGGAAAGAGGGGAACAUGCAGGCUGGGGAGGAAGAGAGGAGCCACGUGUCCCAAGCGAAGCACUUGAGUUCCAUCUCACAGGCUGUCUGAGGUCCGAGGUGGCAUUUGGGCAGGGAGGAGAUCAGUUUAUAAAAGGUUCACGUGGGGGACAGAAGGGAAGACAGCGUGGUUAGAGAGAGAGAAGAGUUUCAGGUUAGAGGAGCUAGGAGAGGGGACAGUAGUUAUGAGAGAAGAUGGUGACAAACUAGACAGGGAGAAUGAUUGAUGUGAGGAAAAACUAGACUCGAGAGACAGCUGAGCAGUAGUAUUUUAGGUUUCAGAGUCGGCCCUCCUGUUGUCACCAUGGGUCACUGCUGAUGAGGAGCUGAACUGAAUGGAGCAUUUGGUAUUUUCCCUUGGAAACAAGGCUGCAGUGAUAGUUGGAUUGUGUCAACUUGAGUAAGAAACUGCCAGCUAAACUGGAUCAGUGCAGUUGUGAGUGAGGCUGAGGGCAUUAUGGAGGACAGGAGAGCCACGCUAGGCUGGCUUGUCACCUGAGUGGUACAAAAGCGAAACGAGGGAGGAAGGCUCGCUUCUGUUUCUUUGGAGGAGCUCCAGUCUUUGCCUUCCCCUCGGACGUCAUCUCCUGGCUUCCGGUGCAGACUCUCUGGCCUCCUGAUAGGGACUCGCACGGGACACUGCAGGGAGCUCCAGGCCUUCAGCUGGACCUUUCAGAUCCCCAGUGCACAGACGGACCUUUUGCACUCUUCGACCCCCGACUCUGUGUUCGGCCACUCUCUCCCUACUAGAAUGCUAAGGCCAUGAAGCCAGCUGGCCUCAAACUCCAAGAUGGCCUUGAACUCUGCUCAGUCAUCCCAUCUCAGUUUCCUGAGUGCUGAGAUUACAGGUGUGUGCCACCAUGCCAGACCCAUUACAACUUUGGGGGACCCUACAUACUUUAACCUUUGGGGACCACUUCCUCUAUUAAAAAUAUGUAUAAACAUAUACCAAAAUAUAUAAAUAGACAAAUACAUGUAUGUAAAAUUAUAUUUUAGAAUUGCAGUGAUAUAAAGACAAAUAUGUUACAAGCUGGAUUAUACCCACUUUUUUCUGAUUUUAAAAUAUUUAGUGUCACAUGCACUGACAUUGCUGCUGAUCACAACCAUGAUGAGGAGAUGCAUGGACCUGUGAGGGAAUCUUCCUUUUUUUUUUUUUGUACCGGGGAUCGAACUCGGGUCCUUGCGCUUGCGAGGCAGGCGACAGAACCACUUCUUCCUAUAUUUUUGCACUCACGAUGUCUCACUUGGCCUUAGCCUUGGGCAGAGGAAUAUUUACAACCCCAAAGCUGUCAAAUGACCACUUCUCUGAGCUUCAGUGUCUUCGUGUUUACAAGGGCUGUCAUAAAGUAAGCACUUGUCCAGGGUUGGAGCUUAGUGGUAAAGAACAGGCUUAAGAUGUCUGCGGUGCUAGCAUCAAAAAGAAGGAAGGAAGAAGGGGAGGAGAGAAUGAGGGAGAGAGGAAAGAAAGAAAGAGAGAAAAUAGAGAAAGAAAGAAAACAAGGAAGAAAGAAAAGAAUUACCAUAAUAUAAAUAAGAGAAUACAACAGAAUUACUAUACAAUUCAGCAAUUCUUCUCCUAGGUGUAACCCAAAGAAUUAAAAAGCAAAUUUCAAAUACACACCAAUGUUUAUGUCUAUCAACAGAUGAAUGGAUAAAAUAUUCUCUAUGGACAACAGAAUAUUAUUCAGCCAUAAAAAUGAAUGAAAUUCUGAUACUGGCUCCAACACAGAAGAACCCACACACAGUACAGUAAAGAACAAGUUCUGUGUGAUUUCACUUGUACGAGAUUACCUGGAAUAAUGAAUAAGCACAUUCAUAGAUGGAAAUUAGUGGGGGUUCUAGUUGGGAUGAUGAAAAGAUUCUGGAAAUGGAGGGGUGAUGGUUGCACAAUAUUGUGAAUGUAUUUAAUGCCACUGAGUUGUAUACCUAAAAAUAGGUAAGCUUGUCAAUUUUACUUGUAUUUUCCACAGUAAAAAAACUCUGCACAGUAUUUAUGCAGGGUGAAAAAGGCAGACAAAUCAUGACUGAUAAUUACCGUACUGCUAUGGUGAACAAGUGUUCCAAAGUUCACAGACAGACUGGCAGGCAUAAGAUGCUGUGUAAACACAGACUUCUCCUGCCCCUGCCCAGACUUGUUGCUCACCUCCCACUCAGCCAGCACAGUCCAUGACCGAGCUGAAGAAUAAAUGGACAGUGGCCAAGAUCAGAAAGCACGGGUAUCCCAGAGCAUGUGCGCUUGUCCAGGAAAUCCGCUGUUCCUUGCUGUCUAGAAGCAAUGCUUUUGGGACAAGGACUGUGGUCUUGGCUGAGAGAUUUAAGAUGGUCCUGUGUUGGGAGAGAGGAGUGACCCAUGAAAGGCCAUGUCACUCACCGGGCCCUGAGCAUGGGCACUUGCACCAAGGUUGGUCUGAUCUGAUUUCCUGGUUUGGAAAGAACAUCUUGAUCUUUGCAAAAGCUGAAAGGGCAGCUCCCCAGAGAAGGGUGUGUUGGUUACAAUGUGGGACGGGAACCCAUCGGUCUUAGAGUCUGAGCUGCUUCUCAUUUUAUCAAGUAAGCCCCAUUCUCAAAGAUGAUGUGUUAAAAAAAAUGCAGAAAGGAUAACACAGGAUGAGGGAUUCUGGGACUCAAGGACACUUCACGAAUGCUUGUGCCACUGAGUUUGCUCAGAUCACCAGUCUGUCUAGUUUUCCAUUUCCAGGGAUGAUCAAGCUCCAAGGGGCACCUGUGAGCUCCCUGCAGCUUGUCAGGAGUGUGUACAGGUUCUAUCAGCUUCUUAGAGGGAUGCAUGACCCCCCAGUAGUUUUAGAAUCCCUGUUGCCAUGAGUUUUAAGUGUACCCGUACAGAUCAGCAUUUCACUUCCUCCCAGUUUCCAGGGGCACAUCCAUGGCUCCCAGCAGUGUGCUGGGCGGCCCACAUCUAUCUGAUGGCAGUCAGUGCAGUGCUGUGGUGGAGAGGUCACUGAUGAAUCCCCCGCCCUCUUCUCAGAGAAGUGAUUCUUUGGUAAAUAAGCCAACUGUGACACUGGAGCUGUUAUCUCACAUCUAUGCAAAAAUGCUGACACCAAAUGAUAGUGGAGUCUCCGGGUUGACUCUAAUUCCUCCUCAUUCCACCCAGCUUUGCCAGGUGCAUGUGAAUGACACACCCAGGUCACCAAUUCAGCCCUAGGAAUGGAGCAACUGGCAAUAAAAGAAUAACUUUCCAAUCCCCACUGGUGCAUUUAAUAGCUUGUUGUGGCCUCUUGCAAGUCCCCAAGCAGAGUGUUAGGUGGUCUACAGGACCUGGCCAGGCCAGCAAGCAUCAGGCAAUUAGCUUGCAUGGCCCUGCCUUUCCCCUGCAAGGAGGAACACAGUAAGGAGAAGGGUCAUAGUGAACUGAUACUGUAAAGGCUCUGAAGAAUGACUCAGACAUUCCAGUGCAGCUUUUAUUUUCCCUUUGUGUUAACGUGUGAAAUGUAAUCCUAGUCAUUUUUUCCGAUGAGUUGAUAAACAAUGAUUUUCCAUAGCAGCAUAUGAGCUGGGGCAUGGAGAAUGGAUCAUGUGCCAACAUUUUUCUCUCUCCCACCCUGAACACCUAAGACAACUGCCCCAAGUCUAGGCUUACGGAUUUCUGGAUCUCAGAAAUUUUAGCAAAGGUACAGACUACAAAUGGCCAGAAGGGACUGGCCAGGGAGGGUGGCCAGAUGGGGAGUUUCGGAGGCUUGGAAGUUCUGGCCUGACACUCAGCCCUACUCCACAUUCCUGGGUUCCCUGGGAUGCAGGUAGAGCAGAGAAAUGAUUUAUUUGGCAUCAGAAACAUCCUCAUCCAGGAAGAGCCAGGAAGCGAUAUUUGAUGGCGCCUUCUGCAGGCCAGGCACUGGGCUAACCUUGUCCAUGGCAUAUGCUCUGUCAUCCUUGCAGCAGUAGAGAAGUGACUGAACCCGAAUGCACAUUGGUACCUGAUUUUAUAGUGUGCAGUCUGCUCUCCCCGCCUGUUGCUGUCGCGUCCUUGGAUUCAAUCAAGUCUGGGUUGAAAAUAUAUAUUUUUUAAAUUGUAUCUGUACUGAACAUGUAAAGACUUUUGUUUCUGGCCUUUGCUCUCUAAACAACAUAGUAUAACAAGUUGAUUUAAGCACACAGAAGGAUGGAUGUAGGGUGUACGCAAACGCCACACCAUUGUACACAAGGGGACCUAAGCACCCUCCAUAUUGUGGGCGAAGUGAGGUCCUGGAAGCAAUCGCCUGCAGAUACUGUGGGGUGACUGUAUUGUCAGAAAAUACAUAUCACAGAAAAAUUAUUUUACAAUAAUUUCCUCUCUAAUGAGUUUUUGCCUUCCCUCAAUUUACAGAUGAUGGAACUAAAGCAUGGAAGAUUGAAUCACAUGGCCACUUAGAGAGUGGUAGGGAAAUUGGGAUUUGAAUCCAAGAUUGUUGAAUUCCAAAUUCUAUUUUCUCACCACCAGCCCAAGCUGCCUCCCACUUGGGGCUGAGGAAGGCAAGUGUGUGUGCAUAGUUGCGGCCCUGUGGAACGGAUUCCCAGGCAGCUCCUCCUCAGCAGCGGCAGAGACACAAGCCAAGGAGAACCUGUUUUUCCCCUCAGUUGGUUGGUGGGAUAGGAGACCUGUGAGGGACAACAGUGGGCCAAACUGGCUUUGGGGCAGGGCUGUGUGUCACUCCUCUCUGCUGUCCUAAGCCUAGGGGACAAGAGGGAAGCUCCUUAGGGAGACAUCACAAUUGUAUGCAAGUUCUCUAGAGAAACAGAACCAAUAUGUGUAAGAGGAGAUUAUAGGAACUGACUCAUAUGGCUACAGAGGCCAAGAAGUCCCACCAUCUGCCAGCUGUAAGCUGGAAAGCCAGGUGUAACUCACUGGGGUAAUUCCUCCACCUUUUGUUCUAUCAGGCCCUCCAUGAAUAGAUCAAUGCCAUCCACACAGAGGAAGGCUCCAUGCAGCUCACCAAUGCAAAUGCUGAUCUCUUCCAGAAACACCCUUCUAGACAUACGCAGAAAUAAUGUUUUUCCAGCUAUCUGGGCAUGCCUUAGCCCAGGCAAGUUGACACAUAAAAUUAACCACCACGGCAUAGCCAGAACAUAGCCUUCACCUCUUCGGGGAAAUUCUCUUUGGUGGCAUUUGGGGAUAGUAACAAGGGCAACUUCCAGGUCAGGAUCUCAAAGCCCAAACCUCCCUGUUGCUGUUGAGUACAGGGGAAGAAGUAAGUCAAGCCAGGGGUGGGCUGACAGUGGCUACUGAAGGCUGUUCUAGCUGGACUGCUCUUUCUAACCUGCCUUUUGAGAGCCCUGCUACAGGGUUGGUGUACGUCAAGGCAGGAUGGGCUGGUGACAAUGAUGAGGGACGAAAGGGGCCUUGAGCAGCAAGUUUUGGUGAAGAUCGGACUGGCCAGGGCAAGAAACUAGGGAAAUCAGAAGUGAAUGAGCGAUCUGAAGUGGAGAUUGGAAAAAUGUAAGGGACCUUUUCUAGUUAAAUUUGUACUGAAGACUAGGUGGGGUUUGGGCCUCGAGGCUACAGUUUCAAUUAGAUCCAAAAGCUUAAUGCUCACAGUUUUUAACAAGGAGAGUUGAAUGAAGAGGGCUAAGUAACUUAGUCAAAAGUGUCUCAGAGCUUUGAGGUUAGCACUGUCGCCAGCAUGGCGGAGCCCUGAGGUAUGGCUGCUGACCAUUACAUUGGGAGAACUAACUCCUCAGAGCUGCUGGGGACACUGUUUGGCACUUGGAGAGCAUAUGAUCGAUGAUGGUACCCUUUCUGGUAAAGGCGGGUAAAUAGAUAAUGAUUUGAGUGUGUGAGGAGCCUUAUGCUUAAAAGAAAAAUUGAAAAACAAAUCAUUCCAAAAUAUAUUUAUAUGAGGAACUGAGAGUCAGAAGGAGAAGGACAGUGGGGUUCAUGAACCAGUAGCAUCAACACCACCAAUCAGCCCGUUAGAAAUGCAGAAUCUCACCCCUCCCACGCUUGAUGAGACAGAAUGUGUGCUUUAGCAAGAGCUCCGGAAGAUUCGAGUGCGCUGUAAAGAUUAAGGGGCAUUUCUGCUUUCCAAAUUUGGCUGGGAAUACUGGAAUCACCUGGGGAGUGUUAGCAGCGCCGGGGCCUGGUCUCGCUUUUAGGGUAGUGGGAGUCUGGGCCGAAGUUUGGGUUCCGGGAUAGUUCCACCACCCCCGUUCUCCAGCAGGCUUGAGAAGCAAUCCUCUGUAACCUGUCCCAGGUACAAGGGGUAUCAGACAGGGUGAGCAGAGGAAGCAAAGUGUGCCUUGUCCAGGCACAAACUCGCCAGCCAGCAGAAGGCAGCCCUGACUUCCACUCAGAGAGCUCCUCAGGGCUGAAAGGAGGCUGCCUGGGGUUCUGAGUUCUAAUCUCAACUCGGCUUUCCUCAACAUGUCCCUGAGUUCUGUCAAUGCUAGUCAGAUAAGGAAAUGACUAAAUGAACUGUCUGGCAAUUGAAAUCCUCACUUGAAAAUGAGGCUCUUUCUUUCCUCCGGUCAAGAUGUGGUGUUUCCUCCCCUUCCCUCCCCCUUCCAUCUUUGUGGUCCUGUUAACUAAAGUGCAGUUGCUCACACUUUCUGCUCCUGAGGAUCACAAAGGGGCUGCUUCCAUGGAUGGGAAGGUCAGACUCAGUUUUGUGACGGAAGUCACAGGUGUGGUUGCCCUUCGGAGGUGUAGGUGACAGGGAAAGGGCACUAGGGAGCCUUCCAGGGUGGGACAGCACUGCACCUUGACCUGGGAGGUGUUCCAUGGCUGCAUAAAUGUUGGCUGAGCUAGUCACCCAGGAAUUGAGCACUUCGCGCAUAUUAUACCUCGGUUAUAAACAAAAAAUGAGUGGAGCUCAACAGCCCGGCAGGGGAAAAACAAGUGCUCCAAGCACUUGGCAGACAGGAGCAGAGGUCACUGGCAAGAAGCUAAAGCAGAAAUUGGUGGAGAAGUGACAGUGAGAACCAGAGACCCAGACAGACAGGUAAGGACAGAGAUGGACAGAGAAGGUGCCUAUGGGAGUCACUCGACCCAAAUACCGGGAGUUGGAAUGGUCCUAAGUAAAGGGGUGGGGCUCAGCUUCCAAGUAGGAUGACCAACCGUACUGGUUUGCCUUGCGACUGUCCUGGUUUUAGCACAAAAAAGUCUGUGUCCCAGGAAAUCUCUCAGCCCAAGAUAAACAGGUAGUGUUCAUGACCCAGGCCUGGGGCUGUGGGUGGCAUUUGGCUGCUCGGAGGAAAUGGAGCAGGUGCAGAAAAUCCUCUCAGGGCCCCAAGCUGUGCAGGAGGAGCCUGGAUUGGUUAGGUAGAUGGGCUCCUUCCUCUUUGGCCAGAAGUGAGCCUGGAAUCGAGAAUCUGAGGCAAGGCAGCGGUGACCCGCAUCUGGGCUCUCCGGUUGGCCAAGCCCUCCCUGGCAUUCCCAGCCAUGCCUCUGUCCUGCAGUCUUGACCUGCACAGUCCUGUCAGGUCAGUGUGCAGCUGUUUGUUUGCUUGGGGGUAUUUCUAUCUGGCUUUGGAGCUUUUGGGCUACGGGCAUGUCCUUGUCACUUUUGUACCCUCCGUAGCUCAGUUCAGGGCCACAGCAUCACCUCUUUGGAGAAUUUUUUAAUCUUCUUAUGUCAUGGAUCUUUUGGGCAACUUGAAGAAGUAUUAAUUCCCUUCUCAAAAUAAUGCAUUAAAUGCAUAACAUAAAAUACAGAAUGAUGCAAAGAAAAUCAAUUAUUCUAAGACAUGGCUAUCAAAAAAUUUUUUAAAACAUGCUUCAUCAACAUCCCUCUUCAUUAAAGCUUUCCCUACUGGGAUCUAGCAGCAAGUGUAUUUUGAGGUAACUUUGACAACAAAUAAUAUUUCAUUAUACCUGCAACAAGUGUACCAUGAAACCAAAAGGUUUUGUGAUUUCUGUUGGUGACAAAUGGCGGGAACUGGUUACCGACACUACUGUAAUUUGUUCCCCCACACUCCUAACAACAAGAAAUGCUAAAUUUCACUUAGUAGUGUAUGAAAACAUAGAUGUCACUUUUAUUCCAUCCAAUUUCACACAUGUGCCCUAAAUUCCAUGGACUUCCAUUUAAGAAAUGCUAUAUACAUGAAUGAAAGAUCAGAAAUGUGCUUUGUAAACUGUAGAACACAGUGACCUUCUGAAUCGUGUUCGUCCUGGGGGCAUGUGUGCUUCCUGGGUUAAGCAAGGGAGGUUGAGAACCACUGUGAGACCAGAAGCAAAGAGGUGACUCUAAUCUCCAUUUGUCAGAGCUGGCUGCUGGCUCUUGAUUGGCUUUGUUCUAGUAAAGUGACAUUUGCUGUGACCCUCAUCUCCCCAUGCCCUUCCCUAGUGUGCAGGAGGACAGGCUGGUAGGCAGAGUUCAGGCACUGGGGGAGCAGGAAGCCUAUGUCUUAGUCUGGAGAGGGGCCUUUGGGUCAGCAUCAGAGCCCAUGCUGGCCAAACAAAAAGGCUUGAGGGCUUCGAGGAAGACCUCAUGUCCUCACAGCGCCCUGAGCAUCCUAUCUGUAACAUGAACCUUUGGGUAAAAACUGCUGGACCCUCUUUGAAGAUGAGAGUCUACCCAGGAGGGAGGUCAUGCAGAAUGUAAGGUCUUGGAAAGAGUGUUGUUGUUUCUUUUCAAUAUCACCCUGUGCAAGAGCACAUGGGAGCAGAGACCCUUCAAGCAAGUGGCUCUCCUUCUUGGCCCUCGCCCAAAUGACCCUGGGCAGGAAAACUGCCCUCCAAUUAGCAAUGAGAACAGUAAGGCCCACUAUAGCACCAAGUGGAAUGACCCCAGCCCCAGUCUGGUGACAUUUCAGCGCUUUAGACCGCAUGCCCUUUCUUGGCCCUGCACAGCAGGGCUGAGACACGAGGUUAUUUUUAUCUGAUGGUGCUGUUAUUGGUGUUUUGGUAGCUACUGCUGCGGGCUCUGGCAGUGGCAAGUGCGCAGCAAGGGUUUCCUGUGCAGCUUCUUCCUCCUUCCUCCACGUGGUUCCCUCCCACCUCAGGGUUCAGGUUGCAGCCGCUGCCUGGAACCUAACCUUGGUCUUGGAGGACAGCAAGAGCAUAGUGGCCUUUCCAGGCUUGUCCCCCACAUACUGGCCACUCAGGCUGCACCCUUGGGUCCCCCACCCAUUUCCUCUUCAAAGAGGGGUACCAAGGUACUUUUCCUACUGUCCUCUCUCCCACCUGCAACUCUACUCAGUAAAACUGUUGCUUUCUGCGAAGCCAGAUUCAUUGGAUUCAUCCUCAGUUUUGACUGUGAGCUACCAUCAGAAUUUUUUCUUUUCUUUUAAAAAUUCUGGUUGCAGCUUACCAAUAAAUUGAUUUCAAAACCUAAUAAUGAGUCAUGAUUCAGUUUGAAAAAUACUGUGCCAGAUAACUUUCUGGAGCUAUUUCUCUUUUCUGAGUGAAGGAAAGGCACUAGAAUUUAUAGACACCCUCUGAACAAGCACUGCCCUGGCUUUUGAGUUAUACGUAUUUCACAGAGAAGGAAGCUGAGCCCACGUUCUUACAACUAGAAGAGAGGUGCUGAGCUUUCUCAUCCUGCCUCCCAUAUCAUCUUGGGUCCACAGAAUAAGCCAUGGUAGGAACAUGGACACCAUGGAAAUGGGAAGACAGCACAAAUGAGAGCUCUGAGUGCUGGCUGUUCCACACUUAUCAGCACACUAUUGAUUCUAACCCUGCUCUUUCUGAUUCCAAAUGCAGUAUACUAUGAAGUUCUCUAACCUCAGCUUUGUCAUCUGCAAAAUAGCAUCAAAAAUGUCCACUUUGUUGGAAAAUAUAUAUUCAUUGAGUACUUUCUGGUAAGUAGGAGGGACAAUGAUGAGAAGAAAAUCAAAAUGCAAAUAAUGGAUUUCUUACCAUGAUGGAAUUUAAAAGAUGAAGUCCCCAAAUUCCACUGUCUUUAAAAUUCCCAGGGUUGCUAAAGUAGUUUGUACAAAAAGAUUGUAUCUAUGAAAACCCACAAUUUGGCAAAGUGUGAUGAGAAUGAGAAGAAAUGGAGGAAAAACAGUGCUCUGUAAAUGGCAGCCAGUACUAGAAAAGAGUGGGUUUGCAUUUUUCUGACUGAAAAUGGGAAAGGAAAUAUUGGAAAUGAAUCGCAUUUCAAAGUAGGAUUUCUAUCCAGGCAAACAGAGGAGAGUCUCAUGAAUAUUCUGAUUUAAAGAUUAUACUGAUGAACAUAUCACACAUGAACUACUAAUUCUCACAAUUCUAGAAUAUGGGCUUUAUAGCCUCAGAGAUAUCCAGUCUCGGGCAAUGGUGUCCCCUCUACCUGACAGCUCCCUCUGCCCGGUAACAUCCACAAAAGACUGAGAAUAAGACUAAAGAAGGCCAAGUGAGUGUUCCAUCCUCAUACCCCUUUGCAGGAGGUACUUGUCUUACCUUCAUUUCCCAGACAAGAGCAUGGAGGUCCCCAGACAUGAAGAGACUGCCCCUGAAUCACACAUGGGUGCUAAGCAGCACUGGAAGGAAAGACAACCUUUGUAACAGCAGCACUCCUCACCUGUUAUCCAGCGCUUUCUCCUUCAGGAGGCUUGGGGUAAAGUGGAACAGCAUUGAAGAGAUUGGCCAACCAUGAAAAAAAUGGAUGAAGAAACUGUAUUUUCAAGCAAAUAAUUAUUCUGUUUAGAAGGUCAUGUGGAGAAAGUGGGAGACAGAAAUGAGGACUCACAUUUCCAUCCCCAGGGGCUAUUUGCCUGCGAGUGCCCAGUUGUUCCACACCAUUUGUUGUAAAGAUUAUCCUUUCUCCACUCAGUUGCCUUUGCACCCUUGUCAAAAAUCACUUGACUGUACAUGUGUGAGUUUAUGUUUGGACUCUGUUUCAUUGAUCUGGUUUUCCAUCCUGACACCAAUACUACAGUUUUGAUUAUUGUCACUUUGUAAUAAAUUUUGAAAUAGAAAACUGCAAGUCCUCUGUGUUUUCUUUCAAAGCUGUGUUAUUUGGAGACAGAGUCUCACUAAGUUGCUAAGUUGCACAAGCUGGGUUUGAACUUGUGAUUUCCUCUAUAUUAGACUCCAGGGAUGCUGGGAUUACAGGCUUACACCACCAUGUCUAGCUGGUCCUUUGCAUUUAUGUAUGAAUUUCACAAUCAGAUCAUUGAUGCGUACAGAAAGAGAAACUUGCUGAUAUUUUGAUUACAUUGAAUCUAUAGAUAAAUUGCAAAAG
Long non-coding RNA from Heterocephalus glaber (naked mole-rat), 11206 nucleotides. Lineage: Eukaryota; Metazoa; Chordata; Mammalia; Rodentia; Bathyergidae. The record is from Ensembl.